AAUCCUAGACAACACAAUGCAUUUGACUAAAUGCAUCUUUUUCUGAAAGAUAAAAUUAUGGUUCUUUUCUUUUAGUACUCAGUAAUUUUUCUGUGCCUUCCAGGCUCCUAGAUGUUGUUUCAACUUUUCAAAGCUUUUCCAACACUAUUUUUUAAGAUAAUUUAAGAAAAAAAUAACAGACUUUUCAAAGAAUUUUAUGCAAAUCAAAUGAUACAACAGUGUUCAAUCCAAGUGAAUAUUGGUUUAUAUUUUUCAUUGUUGAGAGACAACAAAAAUAUGGUAUCAGACACCAAAUGAGAUUAGGUAACAGCUGCAGCCUGAAAAAACUGAUGUCAAAGAUGAUCCUGCUUGUUUCGUUACAGAUUCUAGAUCUUAAUCUUUAAAAUUCUUGAACUUUUAAACAGCAUAGUGAUUUGUUAUUACCUCAUUACUAGGCAAAAGCAUUAAGGGUUCUCAAAGAUUUAUUCCUAGAUCAACAGUAUCACUGGUGAACUAACAAGAAAUGUCAUUCCUGGGUCUUAGCUCAGAUCUACUGACUUAAAAUCCAGGUAUGGGCAUGGCGGUCUCGAGCAGCUCCUCUAGGUUGAGGUGUGCUCAUACUUGGGAACAACUGGAAUAGUGUUUUAUCAAGCCAGGUCUAAAAAUGUCUGAUUGUUGGAAAUGGAACACUAAGCAACCUUUAUGCCUAGAGAUAACAUGCGCUAAACCCAUCGAACUGAUUUACAAAUGUGAUUUACAGCUUACACAGUUAAAGUUACUACACAUAUUUGCAGUUGUGUACUAUAAAAGUCGACAGAAUUAUUUAUAAAGUUUGUAUAAUUUUAAACUUUUUUCAAGAGUAAAGUUUUUAUAAGUACAUAAAGCGUGCAAGGUGAAAAUAAAGCUCUCGCCUAACAGUUGAUAAAUGUAGCAUUUAUACUGGCA
Suncus etruscus (white-toothed pygmy shrew) is the source of this 924-nucleotide long non-coding RNA. RefSeq lists it as uncharacterized. Lineage: Eukaryota; Metazoa; Chordata; Mammalia; Eulipotyphla; Soricidae. The transcript is spliced from 2 exons. The record is from RefSeq and is a predicted model, not a curated record.